CAGCAUGCCAAAGGAGAGGGUCACCAUGUAGACCAGGAGGACUGGUACUGACUCUAUAGAGAAAUAUCACUGCUGCUGCAGAAUGCCAGCAAGAAAGAAAACCUCUGAAAUCCAGAAGAUGCUCUGAGAUUCCUCCAGAGACCCCCAUAUCCAGCUGUAAAAGUUAAUGGAUGAUCCCAGGAGCCCACAGUAGGCAGGAUGACAAAGGGCUCAAUAUGUAAUAAAAAGGAUGAUGUACCUCAACUCAACAGGAAUCUCAUUAUGACUGAGGUUGAGUUGCUGACCAGGUGUAAAUGGAAGGGAACAGCACUGAAACUGAUAUCAAUAAGAAUGGAGUCCAAGUUAAAGACAGGUACACCUGAAAUAUAUCAAGUUGCAGUUCCCUGGCUGUGGAAGUGUCCAGUACUUAGAGCGAGCUUUCGUCCACUCCUCACAGAAGUCAAGAUUGAGUUCUUCCAUCUCCCCAUGCAGCCCCACACUCGGAUCCCCCUUCACCCUUCUCCCUGACCCUCUUCAGAGACAAUUUGUAAUCAGUAAGCACCACUGCAAUUUAAGGAAG
RNAcentral lists this long non-coding RNA (559 nucleotides) under Heterocephalus glaber (naked mole-rat). RNAcentral describes it as "lncRNA (ENSHGLG00100035241.1)". Lineage: Eukaryota; Metazoa; Chordata; Mammalia; Rodentia; Bathyergidae. The record is from RNAcentral.